Silurus meridionalis is the source of this 740-nucleotide long non-coding RNA. RefSeq lists it as uncharacterized. The record is from RefSeq and is a predicted model, not a curated record. The transcript is spliced from 3 exons. NCBI's taxonomy places the organism in Eukaryota, Metazoa, Chordata, Actinopteri, Siluriformes, Siluridae.
CCACGCUGUCUGAGAUCCUCCAGCACUGCUCGACUGGUACCACCUUCUCUCAGAAUGAGAGAGAAGAAUCCACCAGAACCCCAGUUGAGAAGACCUGCACCCUGUGGAAUUCUACAGACUCCUGCUCUGAAGGCAUGGUGCUGGGGGUGGAGUAAACUUCAGGGGAAACCCAUGUAGCCGAUGAUGGAUUCGAACACUGAGAGCUGAAGUUUAGAACUUGUUGGUUUGAAUGUCAUGAAGCUUCAUCGAUCUGAGGGUUUUUUCCGAUGACGGAUGGUGAAGCGCUGGUUCAAUUCUGAUGGAUUGCUGUUCUGCUGAAGAUCAAAGAGAAUUUACACUGUGGUUGAACAUCGGAGAGCUGCAUCGUCAGCAUCAUCAGCAUCAUCAGUCUGUUUAACUUGUGAAAGUUUAAACCCAGCUGAGGACGGCAGUGCGGCGAGGCCCGACGUGCCGAUAUCUUCGCUGUCGUUGCAGAAAAGUUUGAGCCUCGACGUGACGCCUCUGAGUCUGAAAUCAUUUCUUUUUUUAUUAAAGCUCUGGUUUAUUUUAACUGCUGACUCACUUCUGGAAAUCAAUGAACUGUUUACACUCGAACCACAUCUUUAAAGCAGAUCAUUAACGCAGUGAGAAUAGUUUUGACUCUGCAUUAAAACUCAGCCUCUGAUUCUCCUGCGACUGUUAAUGCGAUUGUGUAAAUUCUCCUUUUAUGGAAAUCAAUUAAAGUAAAUCAUCCAACAGAA